UGGGGAAUUUUGGACAAUGGGGGAAACCCUGAUCCAGCCAUCCCGCGUGUGCGAUGAAGGCCUUCGGGUUGUAAAGCACUUUUGGCAGGAAAGAAACGUCAUGGGUUAAUACCCCGUGAAACUGACGGUACCUGCAGAAUAAGCACCGGCUAACUACGUGCCAGCAGCCGUGGUAAUACGUAGGGUGCAAGCGUUAAUCGGAAUUACUGGGCGUAAAGCGUGCGCAGGCGGUUCGGAAAGAAAGAUGUGAAAUCCCAGAGCUCAACUUUGGAACUGCAUUUUUAACUACCGGGCUAGAGUGUGUCAGAGGGAGGUGGAAUUCCGCGUGUGGCAGUGAAAUGCGUAGAUAUGCGGAGGAACACCGAUGGCGAAGGCAGCCUCCUGGGAUAACACUGACGCUCAUGCACGAAAGCGUGGGGAGCAAACAGG
RNAcentral lists this ribosomal RNA (429 nucleotides) under Acidobacteriota bacterium. RNAcentral's name for it is "Acidobacteria bacterium partial 16S ribosomal RNA". It matches the Rfam family "Bacterial small subunit ribosomal RNA", at positions 355 to 776 of the family's 1533-position model. Lineage: Bacteria; Pseudomonadati; Acidobacteriota. The record is from RNAcentral.